Molecule: long non-coding RNA, 1660 nt
Organism: Esox lucius (northern pike)
Lineage: Eukaryota; Metazoa; Chordata; Actinopteri; Esociformes; Esocidae
Source: Ensembl
AAAUAGCAGUUCACCCUAAAGACAUAAACGAGACACCAACAUGAAACAAGUACUUCCCAGCAUGGAAGUAGAAAAGUGGACCUACUGGAUCUACAAGAAAAUGGGUGGAGAUGCAUCAAGAGAGCGAGCGGAUGAAGCUGAAAGAGACCUUCAGGAUACUAUGAAGCAACACAGAAGAUGGAGGAACAUCAACGACGGGAGCAAGAGAAGCAGAGACAAAAAAUUAUUGAACACAAUAGAAAGCAAGAGAAAGCAGAAAGGAUAAGGAUUCAUCAAGAAAAGAAUAAUUCCAGCAGUCCUAAAACUGUAGGAUGAAGAGACAAUGGUUUAAAUGUUUGAUUAUCGACAAAAAGAUUUGAUGGAUACAGUACACAGUUAUUGUAAAAUAAAUAUUAACAAAUUACUGCAGAACCGUGGCCUUUCCGAGGGGCAUGAGCUGAAACUGAAAAAGUGCGUGGAGUUGUCGGCUCAGACGGACGUAUGAUGUGUCAGAGCGAUUAGCCUUCAGCAUUUGGUCAGCCAGAAAGCCACUGACAACUGAAAAAAGACCAGCAAGUAUUAAGGCCACAGAACCCUCCUCCCAUUCAAAAAGAACAGCAGAAGACUGUCAGACAAAGAUAACAUUGAGUCAUGUCUGAUAGUGAGACCAUUGAGCUAGCCGCUCUGGGCCGGCCGUUCGAACUGGGGAUGCUGUAUGACUGCCGCAGGGAUCUUCUCAUCCCAGUCAUUAGUAUUGUUUUCCAUUCGUGUUUGGUUUGUUUGUUGUGUAUUAAAACCCACAAACGAGAUUACUGCCUGCGCCUGGUUACUAACCAACACGACACCAACAGGAGUGUUACAGAUGGAGGGUUGUCCAUUAUGGUUAACUCUCGCUGGGCACGGAUGUUGCAGUUCUUGCUAUGCACUGUUCAGCAGACCUGGAGCUACUGACAGUAAAGGUACAACACUUCUACCUCCCGUGGGAAUUCAGCUCCCAUAUUAUCACUGCAGUCUACAUACCCUCACUGGCGGAUAAAACAUGUGUGCUGGAAGAUAUGGAGUAAUAAACAGUCUAGAGGAUGCACACCCUGAGGCAGUUUUCAUUGUUGAUGGUGACAUUAACAGGGCAAAUAUGAGGAACUUUUUACCAAAAUACCACCAGCACAUUAACUUCCUGAUCAGACUCUUGACCAUUGUUAUUCACAAAGACGAAAUGGUUACAAACCUCCCCCGCCCAGCGUUUGGUAAGGCAGAUCAUACAUUGAUUUUGCUCCUCCCAUCCUACAGACAACGGCAAAAACAGGAUAAAACGUUUUUUCAGACAGUUCAAUGCUGGAAUGAGGGAUCCAUUACAGCUGUACAGGACUGCUUUGAAACAACAAAUUAGCAGUUGUUCUGUGAUGCAGCCAAUGGGAACAUUGAUGAAUACACAGACUCUGUCACUGCAUGUAUCUCCAAGUGCAUCGAUGAUGUCAUCCCGAGGGUCAAUGUCAGGACUUUCCCCAACUAAAAGCCCUGGGUUGAUGGUAAUGUCUGUGCUAUGCUCAGAGCAUGGUCUCCUGCCUAUAGCUCCGGGAACCUGGAGGCUCUGAGGAGAUCCAGAUAUGACCUACAGAAGGCCAUCAGAGAUAUGAAAAGAGACUACAGGGAUAGGUUGGAGUCUACCUACCACAGCCCGGAC